AGUGCUGAAAAGGAGCCUCCGGAAGAGAGGGCCUUCUCCUGCUUCUCUCCUCCUCCUCUCCAUGCUGGGGGGACACUGGUCACCUCUGACAAAAUUCUGGGGACGCUGGGGACCCUGAAUCACCAUGGGCAAUGAGAACAGCACCUCGGACAACCAGGUGGGUGUCAGGAAGCUUCUCUCUCGAGCUACAUGGUGCUCUUGGCAGACCUUGACUAGGUUCUUUUUAUAGCGUCUCAUCUUCACCCAGGAAGGAGCAAACAAGACAGCUUCUGCGUAGAUGCGUGCAGGCAUUUAUGGAUCUAUGCAGCCAUUUUUCAUUUCACUGGAAUUCUCUUACGAUUAAGGCUAGCUCUAGUUAAAGCCGGAAAUGCUAAUUCUACUUAUUAUUUAUUAUUAUUUUUAAAGACAUGGUCUUGCUCUGUCACCCAGGCUGGAAUGCAGUGGCAUGAUCAUAGCUCACUGCAGCCUUAAACACCUGGACUAACGCAAUCCUCCUGCCACACAGCCUUCCAAGUAUCUGGGACUACAGGCAUGCACCAACACGCCUGGCUAAUUUUUUAAUGUUUAGGUUUUGUAGAGAUGGGGUCUGGCAAUGUUGCCCAGGCUGGCCUUGAACUCCUGGACUCAAGCAAUUCUCCUUCUUUGGUUCCCCAAAGUGCUGGGAUUACAAGUAUGAGCCACCAUUACAGGCAUGAGCCACCGGGCCUGGCCUUACUUUUUAUUCUGUCUUCUAAAACUGACAUAAGAGAGAUUGGCACAUUUUUCCUAGGUUGUGUCCACCCAUCAACUUACAUGGAUUUAGCAGAGGUUAAAAUAAAACCUUUCCAUGCUGCUCCCCCAAAUAAAGCUAUGGCCAUUAAAAAAUGAUUUUGAAAUCUAUCAGUGUUGGGCAGAUUAAAUGUGAGUGGUCAUUCUCAUGUUAAACAAGGUUUUCACAAUUGAAGAAUGGACUUUAACUGCUUAAUUGUGCGUAGGCUGAGAUACUACAACAUAUUCAAAUUUUUCACUAUUUUAAAUUUGAAGUUUUAAUGCCUUAGUGAACAAAAUCAGGGAGACACUUUCCCAUUUAUCUCACACAAACUGGAAAGUUUAGAUUAAUGACAUGGAGUUCCUUGAAUGAGAAAAUUGGAUCUAAAAACCCACAUACUGUAAUUCAUUUCCCCUCUGCCUUUUUCUUCCCUCCCAGCUGAUUUUUGUAUUUUUAGCAGAGACGGGGUUUCACCAUGUUGGCCAGGCUGGUCUCGAACUCCUGACUUCAGGUGAUCCACCCUCCUCAGCCUCCCAUACUGCUGGGAUUACAGGCAUGAGCCACUGCGCCCGGCCUCUACAAUUUUUUUUUCUUUUCUCAAGCAAGAAAACAAAGUGUCAAAAGAGAAGUUGUCAAACUCCAGCGUCUUUAGGGGUAGGCCAGAAACAACAAUUGUGUUAAAAGACUAGGUGUGACCAUGGAAUACUAUGCAGCCAUAAAAAAGGAUGAGUUCACGUUCUUUGUUAGGGACAUGGAUGAAGCUGGAAACCAUCAUUCUGAGCAAACUGUCACAAGGACAGAAAACCAAACACCACAUGUUCUCACUCAUAGGUGGGAAUUGAACAAUAAGAACACUUGGACACAGGAUGGGGAGCAUCACACACCGGGGUCUGUUGUGGGGUGGGGGGAAGGGGAGGGGGAGGGAUAGCAUUUGGAGAUAUACCUAAUGUAAAUGACGAGUUAAUGAGUGCAGCACACCAACAUGGCACAUGUAUACAUAUGUAACAAACCUGCACGUUGUGCACAUGUACCCUAGAACUUAAAGUAU
Molecule: small RNA, 1796 nt
Filed under: Pongo abelii (Sumatran orangutan)
Lineage: Eukaryota; Metazoa; Chordata; Mammalia; Primates; Hominidae
Description: retained intron
Source: RNAcentral